Molecule: long non-coding RNA, 665 nt
Organism: Vespa mandarinia (Asian giant hornet)
Lineage: Eukaryota; Metazoa; Arthropoda; Insecta; Hymenoptera; Vespidae
Source: RefSeq, a predicted model, not a curated record
GGCGGCGGUGGCGGUGGUGGCGGUGGCGGCAGCGCCGACGAGCAAUUCUGUUUCCGUAAAAUGUGUCUGCAAAGUGAAAAGGCUCGAGAAAGUAAUAGCUCUGAAUUUUCAAAUACAUAUUCUUCUUUAAGCUAAACGACGGAGAGCAAAAGUUACGAUUUCACUCACAAAAUAUUCACAUUGGCCUCUGUCACCCCGUCAAAGCCGAUAAAAUAUAUGGAUGGACACAUACUGGAAGGAGGAAUGCUUAUGGCCGCAUCUGUCGAUGAUAAUACGUAUAACCGUGCGUUUCCAAGUUCUCUUACCUCUUUAUCGUAACUCCCAUCUAUCACCACCCCCAACUCCAAUUCCAUCUUAAUCUCAUCUCCUCUUACUUCCAUUUUUACUGUAAUGGAUUCGGAUUUUUAUAAUUGUUGCCUUUAUUUUCGCGAACGAAUUAUAAAGAAUCGAAACGCAAUUACUAAAUAAAUACGUUUCAUGGUACUUCAUUUUUAAAAGGUAACGUAAGAAACAAUAUGGCGCGCAUAAAAAAAUAUACGCAUUUAAAAACGCACAAAAGAUGACGAUGACAACGACGACAACAACGACAACAAAGACAACAACGACGACAACAACAAUGACAACAACGACAACAACGACAACGACACGACAACGACAACAACAAC